Molecule: ribosomal RNA, 387 nt
Filed under: uncultured Katablepharidophyta
Lineage: Eukaryota; Cryptophyceae; Kathablepharidacea
Description: partial small subunit ribosomal RNA
Rfam family: Eukaryotic small subunit ribosomal RNA
Source: RNAcentral
GCUUGUCUCAAAGAUUAAGCCAUGCAUGUCUAAGUAUAAACAAAUCUAUACUGUGAAACUGCGAAUGGCUCAUUAUAUCAGUUAUAGUUUAUUUGAUGGUUCUUGCUACUUGGAUAACCGUAGUAAUUCUAGAGCUAAUACAUGCACAAAAUCCCGACUUACGAAGGGAUGUAUUUAUUAGAUACAAACCAACAUCGUGGUGAUUCAUGAUAACUUUGCGAAUCGCAUAGCUUUAAUGCUGGCGAUGGGUCAUUCAAAUUUCUGCCCUAUCAACUUUCGACGGUAGGAUAGAGGCCUACUGUGGUGAUAACGGGUAACGAAGAAUAAGGGUUCGAUUUCGGAGAGGGAGCCUGAGAAACGGCUACCACAUCCAAGGAAGGCAGCAGG